GAUGAAGAACGUAGCGAAAUGCGAUACUUGGUGUGAAUUGCAGAAUCCCGUGAACCAUCGAGUCUUUGAACGCAAGUUGCGCCUCAAGCCAUUAGGUUGAGGGCACGUCUGCCUGGGCGUCACAUAUCGUUGCCUGAUGCCAGUUUCCUCGUGAUGGGUGACUGUGCAGGGCUAAUGAUGGCUUCCCGUGAGCAUUGUUGCCUCAUGGUUGGUUGAAAAUUGAGUCCUUGGUAGGGAGCGCCGUGAUAGAUGGUGGUUGAGUGACGAACGAGACCCAAUCAUGUGAGACCCCUACCGAAUUUGGCCUUCAUGACCCACAUGCGUCUUUGGAACGCUCAUGACGAGACCUCAGGUCAGGCGGGGCUACCCGCUGAGUUUAAGCAUAUCAAUAAGCGGAGGA
RNAcentral lists this unclassified non-coding RNA (400 nucleotides) under soil metagenome. Its description in RNAcentral is "partial contains 5.8S ribosomal RNA, internal transcribed spacer 2, and large subunit ribosomal RNA". The stretch from base 1 to 122 matches the Rfam family "5.8S ribosomal RNA", at positions 35 to 154 of the family's 154-position model. The record is from RNAcentral.